GGUCGCUUAGCUCAGCUGGUUAGAGUACUGUACUAAUAUAAUUGUGAUCUUUGAUCAAAUUCAUUAGUCUAUGCAGUGGUCGGCGGUUCGAUCCCGUCAGUGAUCA
This is a non-coding RNA of Kwoniella shivajii, 106 nucleotides long. NCBI's taxonomy places the organism in Eukaryota, Fungi, Basidiomycota, Tremellomycetes, Tremellales, Cryptococcaceae. The record is from the annotation of a RefSeq genome assembly.